GGAAUAUUGGACAAUGGGCGCAAGCCUGAUCCAGCCAUGCCGCGUGUGUGAAGAAGGCCUUAUGGUUGUAAAGCACUUUAAGCGAGGAGGAGGCUACUGAAGUUAAUACCUUCAGAUAGUGGACGUUACUCGCAGAAUAAGCACCGGCUAACUCUGUGCCAGCAGCCGCGGUAAUACAGAGGGUGCAAGCGUUAAUCGGAUUUACUGGGCGUAAAGCGCGCGUAGGCGGCUAAUUAAGUCAAAUGUGAAAUCCCCGAGCUUAACUUGGGAAUUGCAUUCGAUACUGGUUAGCUAGAGUGUGGGAGAGGAUGGUAGAAUUCCAGGUGUAGCGGUGAAAUGCGUAGAGAUCUGGAGGAAUACCGAUGGCGAAGGCAGCCAUCUGGCCUAACACUGACGCUGAGGUGCGAAAGCAUGGGGAGCAAACAGGAUUAGAUACCCCGG
RNAcentral lists this ribosomal RNA (441 nucleotides) under uncultured Acinetobacter sp. Its description in RNAcentral is "bacterial SSU rRNA". It matches the Rfam family "Bacterial small subunit ribosomal RNA", at positions 358 to 790 of the family's 1533-position model. Lineage: Bacteria; Pseudomonadati; Pseudomonadota; Gammaproteobacteria; Moraxellales; Moraxellaceae. The record is from RNAcentral.